GACGAAGGUGGCAAGCGUUGUUCGGAAUCACUGGGCUUAAAGGGCGCGUAGGCGGCUUGUCAAGUGUCUGGUGAAAGACCCCGGCUCAACCGGGGAACGGCUGGGCAAACUGACGAGCUUGAGGCAGGUAGGGGCGAGUGGAACUCUUGGUGGAGCGGUGGAAUGCGUAGAUAUCAAGAGGAACGCCGGAGGCGAAGGCGACUCGCUGGGCCUGUCCUGACGCUGAGGCGCGAAAGCCAGGGGAGCAAACGGGAUUAGAUACCCCCGUA
RNAcentral lists this ribosomal RNA (269 nucleotides) under uncultured prokaryote. RNAcentral describes it as "partial 16S ribosomal RNA". It matches the Rfam family "Bacterial small subunit ribosomal RNA", at positions 524 to 792 of the family's 1533-position model. The record is from RNAcentral.